RNAcentral lists this ribosomal RNA (960 nucleotides) under uncultured Lactobacillus sp. RNAcentral's name for it is "bacterial SSU rRNA". It matches the Rfam family "Bacterial small subunit ribosomal RNA", at positions 530 to 1488 of the family's 1533-position model. Lineage: Bacteria; Bacillati; Bacillota; Bacilli; Lactobacillales; Lactobacillaceae. The record is from RNAcentral.
GGGGGUGUACGUUGUCGGAUUAUUGGGCGUAAGCGAGCGCAGGCGGUUUUUUAAGUCUGAUGUGAAAGCCUUCGGCUCAACCGAAGAAGUGCAUCGGAAACUGGGAAACUUGAGUGCAGAAGAGGACAGUGGAACUCCAUGUGUAGCGGUGAAAUGCGUAGAUAUAUGGAAGAACACCAGUGGCGAAGGCGGCUGUCUGGUCUGUAACUGACGCUGAGGCUCGAAAGUAUGGGUAGCAAACAGGAUUAGAUACCCUGGUAGUCCAUACCGUAAACGAUGAAUGCUAAGUGUUGGAGGGUUUCCGCCCUUCAGUGCUGCAGCUAACGCAUUAAGCAUUCCGCCUGGGGAGUACGGCCGCAAGGCUGAAACUCAAAGGAAUUGACGGGGGCCCGCACAAGCGGUGGAGCAUGUGGUUUAAUUCGAAGCUACGCGAAGAACCUUACCAGGUCUUGACAUACUAUGCAAAUCUAAGAGAUUAGACGUUCCCUUCGGGGACAUGGAUACAGGUGGUGCAUGGUUGUCGUCAGCUCGUGUCGUGAGAUGUUGGGUUAAGUCCCGCAACGAGCGCAACCCUUAUUAUCAGUUGCCAGCAUUAAGUUGGGCACUCUGGUGAGACUGCCGGUGACAAACCGGAGGAAGGUGGGGAUGACGUCAAAUCAUCAUGCCCCUUAUGACCUGGGCUACACACGUGCUACAAUGGAUGGUACAACGAGUUGCGAACUCGCGAGAGUAAGCUAAUCUCUUAAAGCCAUUCUCAGUUCGGAUUGUAGGCUGCAACUCGCCUACAUGAAGUCGGAAUCGCUAGUAAUCGCGGAUCAGCAUGCCGCGGUGAAUACGUUCCCGGGCCUUGUACACACCGCCCGUCACACCAUGAGAGUUUGUAACACCCAAAGUCGGUGGGGUAACCUUUUAGGAACCAGCCGCCUAAGGUGGGACAGAUGAUUAGGUGAUCUAACCCCG